This is a non-coding RNA of Helianthus annuus (common sunflower), 197 nucleotides long. NCBI's taxonomy places the organism in Eukaryota, Viridiplantae, Streptophyta, Magnoliopsida, Asterales, Asteraceae. The record is from Rfam.
AUACCUUUCUCGGCCUUUUGGCUAAGAUCAAAUGUAGUAUAUGUUCUUAUCAGUUUAAUAUCUGAUACGUGGGCUAUCGGCCCACUCGAUAUUAAUCUUAUUUUUUAUGGGGAAAGGCCCAUCUCAAUAGCUUGCUAUUGGGGUCGUUAAGCGUCGCCUUGGCGUUAAACUACUGCCUCGCAUCCCUCGAAUAUUGU